Long non-coding RNA from Dama dama (fallow deer), 1616 nucleotides. RefSeq lists it as uncharacterized. Lineage: Eukaryota; Metazoa; Chordata; Mammalia; Artiodactyla; Cervidae. The transcript is spliced from 3 exons. The record is from RefSeq and is a predicted model, not a curated record.
CCUGCGCAGGCGCGGUGACCGCCCAAUGGACCGAAACCGCACCUAGGCAUUUACGGUAAAGCCAGUGAGUAGAAGGAAAAGUGAGGAUGGUGCUAAUAGUGGGGGGCGGGGUUGGGGGAGCCGGCAAAGAGUGUGCCCAGUACAUGCUGCUACGGUCCAGAGCAGAGGCUCUUCUGGUGAACUGAACUUCAGACUACCCCAGGUUUACUCUUGGCCAUAUUUCAGAUGCCCUAAGCUUAAAGAAGAUCCAGCCAGUCCAUCCUAAAGGAGAUCAGUUCUGGGUGUUCAUUGGAACGACUUAUGCUGAAGCUGAAACUCCAAUACUUUGGCCACCUCAUGCGAAGAGUUGACUCAUUGGAAAAGACCCUGAUGCUGGGAGGGAUUGGGGGCAGGAGGAGAAGGGGACGACAGAGGAUGAGAUGGCUGGAUGGCAUCACCGACUCGAUGGACAUGAGUUUGAGUAAACUCCGGGAGUUAGUGAUGGACAGGGAUGCCUGGCGUGCUGCGAUUCAUGGGGUCGCAAAGAGUCGGACAUGACUGAGCGACUGAACUGAACUGAACUGAGACUUAAAAGAAACCUGAAAAGUCAUAAGGUUGCCCUCAUCUUAAUUAAGAGAAAAGUGGGCAGGAAGCAGAACUGGAAGAUGCUGGAAUGAAUUCAAACCUGAUGUAAAGCCGUCUGCUUGCACUAACAAGUUGUGCAGUGUUGCUGGCCGAUUCGAGGGUCUUGGGGAUGUCUGUCCAUGAACUCUUAGCCUAUCUUCAAGUCUCCAUACACCAGCAGAUGUCAGACUUCUUUCCAAAAGAAUCCUCACCCCUUCUCUCCAUCCCACCUCCCUGCCUAGAGGAAAGGAAGUGGACAAUCCGAUAAGUUAAAAUUUAUCUUCAAGGACUUUUACUACCUAGUGGUAGCUGCCUAUGAAAAUGCCAAUCUCCACUUGUAUUUCAACUUUAAUUCAACUUUGUCCUCUGUGGCUGGCUUUAUCUGGAAAGGGAAUGGUUCAUCUUGGUAAUUGCUUGAAUCUGCCCUUUGGAACUCAGGGAAGAUCUAGAAGGCCGAAACCUUUUUCCUACAAAUGAGAAAUGGAGGAACAUGGAAGAGCUUUUGUACUCAGGAGGGCUCGGCACUGUCCUGCUCAGUUUUUAGACCAUCCUACUUAUCCCAUAAGCACUCCAAUCCUUCUGCCUUCAGGGAGGCAGAUCUGAGACUUGUUCUCCCAUCUCUUCACUUGGCUGUCUUGUGUAUAAAAUUUCUUUGACUGUAAACCUUGGCGUUUCGGUAUUUGGCUUGCUGCACAUUGGGCAAAUGGACCUGAUUCAGUAACACUAACUGUGCUAGCACCUUGAUUUUGGUUUUCCAGCCUCCAGAACUGUUGAGAAAAUGAAUUUGUUGUUUAAGCCACCCAGUCCAUGGUAUAUUGUCACGGCAGCUCUAGCAGACUUGAUACACACCUCCAACAUGCUUGUACUAUGUGACAACCACUGCUGGAGAUGAUGUCCUGAGGUCGGACAUUUUGGCUUAGUGGUUCCCAAUGUUUGGGCCCCAAAUUUCUGACAACUAUGGAGUUGGUUACAACCAAGAACCCUUGUGCUAUUGCAUAGCAUGCAAAAUAAAG